This 319-nucleotide long non-coding RNA is filed under the name Mustela putorius furo (domestic ferret). Its description in RNAcentral is "lncRNA (ENSMPUG00000025113.1)". Lineage: Eukaryota; Metazoa; Chordata; Mammalia; Carnivora; Mustelidae. The record is from RNAcentral.
CUGUGGCGCUCCAGGCCCGGGGGUGUCGCCUUCCCCAGUGUCUUGCGGGGGUGGGCGCCAGGCUGGGCCUCUUGACAGUUUCACGCCUACUUAGAAUUUCCCGUUGGCUUUGCAGAGGGGUAGCUGCGCCCUCCCCUUGGAGAGAGAGGCCAUGUCUGCACCCGAAGAUAACUCACAGAGGCCGAGAAGCGCUCCCGGGAAUCGCGGGCCGCGACGGGCAAUUCCACUCGCCCAGUUAGUGCCAGGGGCCUCCUCCAGCCCCCUUUGGUCGUCUCUGGUCCCCUCGGAUGCCUUGGAUCAUACUGAGCCGCUCCAGCGC